Molecule: non-coding RNA, 30 nt
Filed under: Rattus norvegicus (Norway rat)
Lineage: Eukaryota; Metazoa; Chordata; Mammalia; Rodentia; Muridae
Source: RNAcentral
UGACAGGAUCUCCUUCUUUUUCACUGCUGA